AUAUCAGUAAGCGGAGGAAAAGAAACUAACAAGGAUUCCCGUAGUAACGGCGAGUGAAGUGGGAAUAGCUCAAAUUUAAAAUCUGGCCUUUGGCCCGAAUUGUAGUCUAAAGAGGUGCUAUCUUGAUAAUAUCAUGUGCGUACAAGUGUCCUGGAAUGGACCAUCACAGAGGGUGAGGAUCCCGUUUGGAUGCACAUUUUCAUCAUUAUGAGGCACUCUCUAAGAGUCGAGUUGUUUGGGAAUGCAGCUCAAAUUGGGUGGUAAACUUCAUCCAAGGCUAAAUAUUGGCAAGAGACCGAUAGCGAACAAGUACCGUGAGGGAAAGAUGAAAAGCACCUUGAAAAGGGAGUUAAACAGCGC
Molecule: ribosomal RNA, 360 nt
Filed under: uncultured fungus
Lineage: Eukaryota; Fungi
Description: eukaryotic LSU rRNA
Rfam family: Eukaryotic large subunit ribosomal RNA
Source: RNAcentral